AUAUCAAUAAGCGGAGGAAAAGAAACCAACAGGGAUUGCCCUAGUAACGGCGAGUGAAGCGGCAAUAGCUCAAAUUUGAAAUCUGGUUCCUUUGGGGGCCCGAAUUGUAAUUUGUAGAGGAAGCUUCGGUGAAGAUACUGGCCCAAGUCCCCUGGAACGGGACGUCAUAGAGGGUGACAAUCCCGUCUAGGUCAUGGCCUGAGCGUGUCAGUAUCAAGGAGGCUCGACGAGUCGGGUUGUUUGGGAAUGCAGCCCAAAAUGGGAGGUACAUUUCUCCUAAAGCUAAAUAUUGGCAAGAGACCGAUAGCGCACAAGUA
RNAcentral lists this ribosomal RNA (317 nucleotides) under uncultured eukaryote. RNAcentral's name for it is "partial large subunit ribosomal RNA". It matches the Rfam family "Eukaryotic large subunit ribosomal RNA", at positions 40 to 350 of the family's 3401-position model. The record is from RNAcentral.